Molecule: ribosomal RNA, 216 nt
Filed under: Salmonella enterica subsp. enterica serovar Heidelberg
Lineage: Bacteria; Pseudomonadati; Pseudomonadota; Gammaproteobacteria; Enterobacterales; Enterobacteriaceae
Description: partial 23S ribosomal RNA
Rfam family: Bacterial large subunit ribosomal RNA
Source: RNAcentral
CCGGCGAGGGGAGUGAAAAAGAACCUGAAACCGUGUACGUACAAGCAGUGGGAGCACCCUUUGGGGUGUGACUGCGUACCUUUUGUAUAAUGGGUCAGCGACUUAUAUUCUGUAGCAAGGUUAACCGUAUAGGGGAGCCGUAGGGAAACCGAGUCUUAACCGGGCGUUAAGUUGCAGGGUAUAGACCCGAAACCCGGUGAUCUAGCCAUGGGCAGG